AAGGCUUCAGUACGACCCAGUCAGAACUAUAAGUCUCAAAGCCCCGACGAGUAGGGUGGCGUGCCGGUGCGCGUUGAAGGCCAAGACGUGAGUCAGGCUGGAGCCGCCGGUAGUGCAGAUCUUGGUGGUAGUAGCAAGUACUCUGGUGAACCAACCUGGAGCUGUGAGGUCUGGAUUAGGGUUCCAUGUCAACAGUGAUUGAACAUGGGUUAGUCGAUCCUAAGCCAGCUGUGAAUGCAGUGACAUCCCGACAACGGGGACGCCGCGUACAUGCCCGGCACUUACACCCCCAUACCAAAGCUCUCGUGUAUCUCUCUCUCAACAAACUGUCUGUGACGAAAAGGUGUCUGGUACGGAAAAUGCGCACACAUGCGAUCACCACAGAGUGUGAAUGUGUGCGCUUGUCUGGAGGCGCACACAUGCGAUCACCACAGAGUGUGAAUGUGUGCGUUUGUCUGGAGGCGCACACAUGCGAUCACCACAGAGUGUGAAUGUGUGCGCUUGUCUGGAGGCGCACACAUGCGACCACCACAGAGUGUGAAUGUGUGCGCUUGUCUGGUUACGCUCGUAAGCGUUGUUGAUCUCUCUGUCCUAAAAGUCGCGCACGCACGAUGAUCGCUACGGAGUGUGAGUGUGUGCGCGCACGCUAAAGCAUAAAACGAGAGAGAGAGAGAAAGAGAGUGGGUGAGCGUGAGUUUGCACUUGCAUGAGUCCCCCGCGUCUGGUUCUAUGUCCGGCGAAAGGGAAUGGGGACUUUGUUCCUUGACCGGUCCCGGCACCCUCGAUUGGCUUUGCCAAUCAAUGGUCCAUGCAAAUGGAACCAGGCCCACAGCCGUCGGCAGUCGCCCGAGGAAGAGUUUUCUUUUCUGCUUAACGCACGAGGUCAUCCCUGGAAACAGUUCGGCUGGCGAAAGGGUGUCCCGUUGCGGCAGAGCGCCACGACUGUCGUGCGCGUCUCGGUGUUCCUGCUGAUCCGUGAAAACGUGGUCGAGGGGUGUGCUCUUGUAUCAACGAAACGUCCGACAAGUUCGGGACGGACCGUACCCUAUAUCCGCAUCUGGUCUCCAAGGUUCGUAGCCUCUGCAGAGUCAGACACAUGUAGGUAAGGGAAGUCGGCAAACUCGAUCCGUAACUUCGGGAAAAGGAUUGGCUCUGAGGGCCGAGCUGGGCCGGGCCUUGCCUGCAAAGCAGUACCUAUAGUGACCGGAGUUUCAGGAGUGCGAGGGGCUCUAGUAGCUGCUUGCGCGUGUGUGUGCGUUCGCGCGUGCGUGCGCGUGUGGGCACGAACGAGUCCACCGCUCCGCUCCAACCACGAACGGCUGUGACGGCAAGGGCUCUGGGCGGGAGCAGUCUAUCCGUUGGCCCCCAGCGCGUCUGGGUGGCGGCGGUGCUCCGUCUGACCCAUACGGCUCCAGCGGCUAGCGGCUAACUCAGAACUGUCAUGGACCAAGGGAAUCCGACUGUCUAAUUAAAACAAAGCGUCGUGACGGCCCCUGUUGGGUGUUGACGCGACGUGAUUUC
This 1521-nucleotide ribosomal RNA is filed under the name Niphargus fjakae. Its description in RNAcentral is "partial large subunit ribosomal RNA". It matches the Rfam family "Eukaryotic large subunit ribosomal RNA", at positions 1357 to 2198 of the family's 3401-position model. Lineage: Eukaryota; Metazoa; Arthropoda; Malacostraca; Amphipoda; Niphargidae. The record is from RNAcentral.